CGUUUGUACCGAUCCCUUCCCGAAGGACCUGGUGCCGAGAAUGAUGGCGCGGCGAUGAUCCUGUAGUGCGCCGGCAACAAUCUCCGAAGCCGAAGCCGACCCUUCGUUGAUGAGAACAACAAUGGGUUUUUCGUUCAUUAGAUCGCCGAGCUUCGCGUUGUAGCGCUGGGUCUCUUCGGGGUCGUUGGAGCGCGUGGAGACAAUCUCACCUUUAUCCAGAAACGCGUCGGAAACGGAAACAGCCUGAUCCAGCAGACCCCCUGGGUUAUUC
This 271-nucleotide non-coding RNA is filed under the name marine eukaryotic metagenome. The record is from RNAcentral.